This 358-nucleotide RNase P RNA is filed under the name Gammaproteobacteria bacterium. RNAcentral describes it as "RNase P RNA component class A". It matches the Rfam family "Bacterial RNase P class A". Rfam says of the family: Ribonuclease P (RNase P) is a ubiquitous endoribonuclease, found in archaea, bacteria and eukarya as well as chloroplasts and mitochondria. The record is from RNAcentral. Lineage: Bacteria; Pseudomonadati; Pseudomonadota; Gammaproteobacteria.
GGAGUUGGCCAGGCAGUCGCUCCGGUAAGCAUGUCUUGUCGGGGAGGAAAGUCCGGGCUCCACAGGACAGGGUGCCAGGUAACACCUGGGAGGCGCAAGCCUACGGAAAGUGCCACAGAAAAUAUACCGCCUGACCAUCAUCGAAUGGUCGGGUAAGGGUGAAAUGGUGCGGUAAGAGCGCACCGCGUGGCUGGUAACAGGCACGGCAGGGUAAACCCCAUCUGGAGCAAGACCAAAUAGGGGAACAUCGGUGUGGUCCGCACUGUUCCCGGGUAGGUUGCUCGAGGUGUUCGGUGACGAACAUCCCAGAUGAAUGACUGCUCAAUGACAGAACCCGGCUUAUCGGUCAACUCCCGAU